CCGAUCUCCUAGCUCACCCUACAUUUCAUUUGAUGCAGACCGUUGUCGUCAUGAAAUUGCUAAGAUGAUCAUCAUGCAUGACUACCCACUUCACAUGGUUGAACACAGUGGGUUCGUAACUUUUGUUCAAAAUCUUCAGCCCCGAUUUGGCAUGGUGAGCUUCAAUACUGUCCAAGGGGAUUGUGUUGCAACUUACUUGAGGGAAAAGCAGAAUGUAAUGAAGUUUAUUGAAGGAAUGCCUGGACGUGUUUGUCUUACAUUGGACAUGUGGACAUCAAGUCAAAGUUUAGGGUAUGUUUUUGUAACUGGACACUUCAUUGAUAGUGAUUGGAAGCCACAUAGGCGGAUUCUCAAUGUUGUGAUGGAACCGUAUCCUGAUUCAGAUACUGCUCUCAGCCAUUCUGUUGCUUGUUGCCUUUCUGAUUGGAGUUUGGAAGGCAAGCUAUUUUCUGUUACAUACAAUCGUCCAGUGGGUGAACCUGGCCUUGAAAAUCUUAGAUCUCUGCUUUGCAUAAAAAAUCCCCUUAUUCU
This 531-nucleotide unclassified non-coding RNA is filed under the name Hevea brasiliensis (rubber tree). Lineage: Eukaryota; Viridiplantae; Streptophyta; Magnoliopsida; Malpighiales; Euphorbiaceae. The record is from RNAcentral.